AGCGAACGCUGGCGGCAGGCUUAACACAUGCAAGUCGAGCGGGCCCUUCGGGGUCAGCGGCAGACGGGUGUGUCACACGUGGGAACGUACCCUUUGGUUCGGAAUACCGCUGGGACACUGGCGCUAAUAUAGGAUACGCUCUUUUGGGGCCAGGCUUGCUGCAGAAGGAUAGGCCCUGGUCUGAUUAGCUUGUUGGUGGGGUAAUGGCCUACCAAGGAGACGAUCAGUAGCUGGGCAGAGAGAAUGAUCAGCCACACUGAGACUGAGACGCGGCCCAGACUCCUGCGGGAGGCAGCAGUGGCGAAUAUUGGACAAUGGGCGCAGUGCUGAUCCAGCCAUGCCGCGUGAGUGAUGAAGUCCUUAGAGAUGUAAAGCUCUUUUGUCCGGGACGAUAAUGACGGUACCGAAAGAAUAAGCCCCGGCUAACUUCGUG
This 433-nucleotide ribosomal RNA is filed under the name uncultured bacterium. Its description in RNAcentral is "partial 16S ribosomal RNA". It matches the Rfam family "Bacterial small subunit ribosomal RNA", at positions 29 to 507 of the family's 1533-position model. The record is from RNAcentral.